This 509-nucleotide ribosomal RNA is filed under the name uncultured bacterium. RNAcentral describes it as "partial 16S ribosomal RNA". It matches the Rfam family "Bacterial small subunit ribosomal RNA", at positions 28 to 507 of the family's 1533-position model. The record is from RNAcentral.
GACGAACGCUGGCGGCGUGCUUAACACAUGCAAGUCGAACGAAGAGCGACGGAAGCUUGCUUCUAUCAAUCUUAGUGGCGAACGGGUGAGUAAGAGGAAUCAACCUGCCCUUCAUCGGGGGACAACAGUUGGAAACGACUGCUAAAAACGCAUACGAUCUAAUCUCGGCAUCGAGGAGGGGUGAAAAGUGGCCUCUACAUGUAAGCUAUCACUGGAGGAGGGGCUUGCGGCUGGUUUGGUAGUGGGAGGGGUAACGGCCCACCAAGGCGAGGAGCAGUAGGCGGUCGGCGAGGGUGGGCGGCCAGAUUGGGACUGAGACACGGCCCAGCCUCCUACGGGAGGCAGCAGUGGGGAAUCAUCCGCAAUGGACGAAAGUCUGACUGAGCAACGCCGCGUGAGUGAUGACGGCCUUCGGGUUGUAAAGCUCUGUUAAUCGGGACGAAAGGCCUUCUUGCGAAUAGGGAGAAGGAUUGACGGUACCGGAAUAGAAAGCCACGGCUAACUACGUG